Molecule: ribosomal RNA, 497 nt
Filed under: uncultured bacterium
Lineage: Bacteria
Description: partial 16S ribosomal RNA
Rfam family: Bacterial small subunit ribosomal RNA
Source: RNAcentral
GAUGAACGCUGGCGGCGUGCCUAAUACAUGCAAGUCGAGCGAACAGACGAGGAGCUUGCUCCUCUGACGUUAGCGGCGGACGGGUGAGUAACACGUGGAUAACCUACCUAUAAGACUGGGAUAACUUCGGGAAACCGGAGCUAAUACCGGAUAAUAUAUUGAACCGCAUGGUUCAAUAGUGAAAGACGGUUUUGCUGUCACUUAUAGAUGGAUCCGCGCCGCAUUAGCUAGUUGGUAAGGUAACGGCUUACCAAGGCGACGAUGCGUAGCCGACCUGAGAGGGUGAUCGGCCACACGGGAACUGAGACACGGUACAGACUCCUACGGGAGGCAGCAGUAGGGAAUCUUCCGCAAUGGGCGAAAGCCUGACGGAGCAACGCCGCGUGAGUGAUGAAGGUCUUCGGAUCGUAAAACUCUGUUAUUAGGGAAGAACAAAUGUGUAAGUAACUAUGCACGUCUUGACGGUACCUAAUCAGAAAGCCACGGCUAACUACGUG